CCGGGAGCCAACCGGAGAGCAGUUUGUAGCCUCUGCCAUCUGCCCCUGCGGCGAGAAGGGCACACAGGGGUCCUGCUUAUGACACUUACAGCAAGAAAAUUCUGUUUGGGUUUCAAGAUCCACCAUGUUCAAAGUCCUAGGAGCACUCAGUGUGGUGUGUGCUGGAUACAUUGGAAGCCUGUAUGUCAACAUUCAAACAUAAAGCUUGCCUCCACCCAGUCGGCCUCCCUCCCAGCCGAUCCUGUGUCCAUCUGGAUCAGAAUGGCCAUCCAAAAUAAAGAAAAACAGCAGCACACAUUCCCAACUUGUGUUUAUGUUAAUAUGGAGCUCUUUAAUUAAGGCUGCCCCCAGCUUUUAUUUCUAAGUCUUAGGUUAACCCACCUAGAACACUGUCUGGAAAACUUGUUUGGCCUGAAAAGUCAGUGGAAUCUCUCAUAGCAAAGGAAAAUAGUUCAGUAGUUUGAACAUAAUUCAUCAAAUGGCAUUUGAGUUGCAUUUUAAAAGUUAGCCUAUGCAGAGCUUGGGUUUGCCUAACACUCUUGUUGGGUCCACCCAGCUCAAAAAUAUUGGUAAUGGUUCUUGGAAGUGUCUCACAAAUACAUUUUCUGAAAAACUCAUUUUUGAGCAGUACUGGAAGUUUGCAAUAAAGAACAGCUUCCCAUCAAGCAAACUUUUUAAUGAUUUUUGUUAGAAUCUAGUUCUCUUUCCAUUCGUAUCACUGUGAUGCGAUUCAUUUCCCUAUUGCAGUGAGAACAGGAUCAGGCAUUGUAUGUAUGGAGACAAAGUGACUCUCUGUUAGGCUACAGUUUAGAAGAGACCUGGAUAAUUGAACACCAUAGUACGAAGUGCUGAAAACUACAAUUACUGGACCGUACAGAAAAUAUUAAAAAAUAAGAAAUGAA
Long non-coding RNA from Gavialis gangeticus (Gharial), 902 nucleotides. RefSeq lists it as uncharacterized. NCBI's taxonomy places the organism in Eukaryota, Metazoa, Chordata, Crocodylia, Gavialidae. The transcript has 3 exons. The record is from RefSeq and is a predicted model, not a curated record.